RNAcentral lists this ribosomal RNA (529 nucleotides) under uncultured bacterium. RNAcentral's name for it is "partial 16S ribosomal RNA". It matches the Rfam family "Bacterial small subunit ribosomal RNA", at positions 28 to 523 of the family's 1533-position model. The record is from RNAcentral.
GACGAACGCUGGCGGCGUGCUUAACACAUGCAAGUCGAACGAGGCUUUUCAAGAAGCUUGCUUCUUGAAAGACCGAGUGGCAAACGGGUGAGUAACGCGUAAACAACCUGCCCUCAGGAUGGGGACAACAGCUGGAAACGGCUGCUAAUACCGAAUACGAUCAAUCGGCCGCAUGGCCGGAUGAUGAAAGGAUGGCCUCUAUAUAUAAGCUAUCGCCGGAGGAGGGGUUUGGGUCUGAUUAGCUAGUUGGAGGGGUAACGGCCCACCAAGGCGACGAUCAGUAGCCGGUCUGAGAGGACGAACGGCCACAUUGGAACUGAGACACGGUCCAGACUCCUACGGGAGGCAGCAGUGGGGAAUCUUCCGCAAUGGGCGAAAGCCUGACGGAGCAACGCCGCGUGAGUGAAGACGGCCUUCGGGUUGUAAAGCUCUGUUAUAUGGGACGAACGUAUUUAUGGCCAAUACCCAUAGAUAGUGACGGUACCGUAAGAGAAAGCCACGGCUAACUACGUGCCAGCCGCCGCCGUAA